GUGGGACCUGAGCCUGGGAAGAGAGUGACUGGGAGGCCCAGGGAGCACGACCAGGUUGAGCUGGUAUAGAUGAGGAAGCUGAUGCCCAGAGAAGGAAGGGAAGAAACUGCCGUUUUCCGAGAACAUAUUAACUAUUUACCUGGUGUUUUACAUCCAUCAUCUCAUUAAAUCCUCAAAUGGAAUCCUACUAUUUUAUGAAAGGGAAACGCAAUCAAUGAAGUAUAGAGUUUCAAACCUAGACCUCGGGAUUAGCAUUCCAGUAUUCUCCCCACCAGAGCUGCCACCAGGACUGGCUACUCCAAAGGAUAGAUCAAGCACCUCCGAAGUACAAAUUCCUAUACGCAGAAAUCUGUGAAGUUGGAAAGGGCAUUGGAUUUUGAGCCCUGGAUUCCAGACUCUUCUCUGACACUGACUCACCUGUGACCGUGAGAGAACCAGGCAACCUCUUUGGGCCUCAGUUUCCUCAUCUGUAAAAUAAGGUGUCAACGGAAGGUUUUCAGGAAGCAACCAGGACUCGCGUCCCUCCCACAGAUGGUCCUUAAAUCAAUCAUUUGUGAGGAAAUACACAGGGGGUGCAGUUGACCAGUUAGGCCCCUGGAAAUAAUGACCAGAACCAACGAGGUCUGACCACCACCCGAUUUAACCAACAGAGAUUGUCAGCUGCGAUUGGUUUAAAGACACAUCCUAACGUCAGAGAUGUAAUGGGAAAAAAAGGGGACACGGGUUUGAGCCCUGGUCUGGGAAGAUCCCACAUGCCACAGAGCAACUGAGACCGUGCGCCACAACUACUGAGCCCACGCUCUAGAGCCAGCGAGCCACAACUGCUGAAACCCGCACGCCUAGAGCCCGCGCUCCGCAACAAGAGAAGCCACCGCAAUGAGAAGCCCGCACACCGCAACGAAGAGUAGCCCCCGCUCGCCGCAGCUAGA
Balaenoptera ricei (Rice's whale) is the source of this 929-nucleotide long non-coding RNA. RefSeq lists it as uncharacterized. Lineage: Eukaryota; Metazoa; Chordata; Mammalia; Artiodactyla; Balaenopteridae. The record is from RefSeq and is a predicted model, not a curated record. The transcript has 5 exons.